Molecule: ribosomal RNA, 456 nt
Filed under: uncultured bacterium
Lineage: Bacteria
Description: bacterial SSU rRNA
Rfam family: Bacterial small subunit ribosomal RNA
Source: RNAcentral
UACGGGAGGGCAGCAGUGGGGAAUAUUGCACAAUGGGCGCAAGCCUGAUGCAGCCAUGCCGCGUGUAUGAAGAAGGCCUUCGGGUUGUAAAGUACUUUCAGUCGUGAGGAAGGUGUUAAGGUUAAUAACCUUAGCAAUUGACGUUAGCGACAGAAGAAGCACCGGCUAACUCCGUGCCAGCAGCCGCGGUAAUACGGAGGGUGCGAGCGUUAAUCGGAAUUACUGGGCGUAAAGGGCACGCAGGCGGUUAAUUAAGUUGGAUGUGAAAUCCCCGGGCUUAACCUGGGAAUGGCAUUCAAGACUGGUUAGCUAGAGUCUUGUAGAGGGGGUAGAAUUCCAUGUGUAGCGGUGAAAUGCGUAGAGAUGUGGAGGAAUACCGGGUGGCGAAGGCGGCCCCUGGGACAAAGACUGACGCUCAUGUGCGAAAGCGUGGGGAGCAAACGAGGAUUAGAUACC